Molecule: long non-coding RNA, 102 nt
Organism: Maniola jurtina (meadow brown)
Lineage: Eukaryota; Metazoa; Arthropoda; Insecta; Lepidoptera; Nymphalidae
Exons: 3
Source: RefSeq, a predicted model, not a curated record
UAAAACAGAAUAAACUUAUAGGGCUUAUUUCACCAACGUAAAAUAAGUCUUAACCGAGAGUAAAUAGAAUAUUUAGCCAGGUUUUCAAUACAAAAACUGUCA